UACGUAGGGACCAAGCGUUGUUCGGAUUUACUGGGCGUAAAGGGCGCGUAGGCGGCAAUUCAAGUCAGUUGUGAAAUCUCCGGGCUUAACUCGGAACCGUCAACUGAUACUGCUUUGCUAGAGUGCAGAAGGGGCAAUCGGAAUUCUUGGUGUAGCGGUGAAAUGCGUAGAUAUCAAGAGGAACACCUGAGGUGAAGGCGGGUUGCUGGGCUGAUACUGACGCUGAGGCGCGAAAGCUAGGGUAGCAAACGGG
This 253-nucleotide ribosomal RNA is filed under the name uncultured bacterium. Its description in RNAcentral is "partial 16S ribosomal RNA". It matches the Rfam family "Bacterial small subunit ribosomal RNA", at positions 524 to 776 of the family's 1533-position model. The record is from RNAcentral.